UACGUAGGGUGCGAGCGUUAAUCGGAUUUACUGGGCGUAAAGCGUGCGCAGGCGGUCUCUUAAGUCUGAUGUGAAAGCCCACGGCUCAACCGUGGAGGGUCAUUGGAAACUGGGGGACUUGAGGGCAGGAGAGGAGAGCGGAAUUCCACGUGUAGCGGUGAAAUGCGUAGAGAUGUGGAGGAACACCAGUGGCGAAGGCGGCUCUCUGGCCUGUACCUGACGCUGAGGCGCGAAAGCGUGGGGAGCAAACAGG
This 253-nucleotide ribosomal RNA is filed under the name uncultured bacterium. RNAcentral's name for it is "partial 16S ribosomal RNA". It matches the Rfam family "Bacterial small subunit ribosomal RNA", at positions 524 to 776 of the family's 1533-position model. The record is from RNAcentral.